Molecule: non-coding RNA, 213 nt
Organism: Vicia faba (fava bean)
Lineage: Eukaryota; Viridiplantae; Streptophyta; Magnoliopsida; Fabales; Fabaceae
Source: the annotation of a GenBank genome assembly
AUGACAAAGGAAAGAGCAGUUAUCGUUACAGAUUGCGCGCAGUUAGUUGGUUUGGGAAGAAGUUCCGUUCCAACUCUGCAAAACCAAAAAAACGAUUUAUCUUUAUAUCACAAAUCUUCUUUAAUCUCUCCUCAUUUCAAUCCCUCCCGUUCCUCUCUCCGCUUCAUAUCUCCAUUUUCGUUUGCUAUUCAUUGUUGUUUUAAGGUUCUUUGA